RNAcentral lists this small RNA (148 nucleotides) under Pongo abelii (Sumatran orangutan). RNAcentral's name for it is "Metazoan signal recognition particle RNA (ENSPPYG00000041539.1)". Lineage: Eukaryota; Metazoa; Chordata; Mammalia; Primates; Hominidae. The record is from Rfam by way of RNAcentral.
GCCGGGCAUGGUGGCGCAUGCCUGUAAUCACAGCUACUCAGGAGGCUGAGGCAGGAGAAUUGCUUGAGCCUGGGAGGCAGAGGUUGCAGUGAGCCAAGAUUGUGCCACUGCACUCCAGCCUGGGCAACAGAGCAAAGCCCUGUCUCAA